This 509-nucleotide long non-coding RNA is filed under the name Bos taurus (domestic cattle). RNAcentral describes it as "long non-coding RNA NONBTAT010758". Lineage: Eukaryota; Metazoa; Chordata; Mammalia; Artiodactyla; Bovidae. The record is from RNAcentral.
GAUAGCUCCACAAUGCUAGAAACUGAAGCAACAAUUCCAUUUGGUUAAGAUAGUCACUAUAGUAGUAACUUCUUCAUUCUUCUUUUUGGAUUCAUCAAAAUGGCUAGUAUGAGCAUCGUUUUACUUCUUUGGUUUGUCAGAAGACAAAAUUUUUUCCAAGACUCCUGUCUCUCAACACUGUGAUAUACGGUUAUCAAUUUCAAGCUGGAUUCCAUUAGUAAAUGGCGGAAAGUAUUUCUGAUGAAGAGAUAAAGCUGCAUUUAUUUAAACACUGGUGGCGUACCUUUAUGAUUAAAUUGAACUGUGAAGUAAGGAGCAUAUCAUCUCAAUCAGCUACUCCCUCUGUUGACAGCCAGAGUGAUGAAGGGCUUAGAUUGCUGAUUUCUACACUUCUGUGUAGAAAAAUUACACAAAACUUAGGGUCUGAAAGAAAAACUUUCCUGUUUCGAAUAUUUUGCAUUUAGGGUGAGGCAUAAGGCUUUUGAAAUUUUUGGACCACUCUUGGAACA